RNAcentral lists this ribosomal RNA (600 nucleotides) under uncultured Bacillus sp. RNAcentral describes it as "bacterial SSU rRNA". It matches the Rfam family "Bacterial small subunit ribosomal RNA", at positions 738 to 1333 of the family's 1533-position model. The record is from RNAcentral. Lineage: Bacteria; Bacillati; Bacillota; Bacilli; Caryophanales; Bacillaceae.
ACCUGACAUCUGAUGUCGCGCAAGUCGUGGGGAGCACAUCAGGAGUAGAUACCCUGGUAGUCCACGCAGUAAACGAUGAGUGCUAAGUGUUAGAGGGUGUCCGCCAUUUAGUACUGAAGUUCACGCAUUAAGCACUCCGCCUGGGGAGUACGGCUGUCACGACUGAUACUCAAAGGAAUUGACGGGGGCCCGCACAAGCGGUGGAGCAUGUGGUUUGAUUCGAAGCAACGUGAAGAACCUUACCAGGUCUUGACAUCCUCUGACAACCCUAGAGAUAGGGCUUCCCCUUCGGGGGCAGAGUGACAGGUGGUGCAUGGUUGUCGUCAGCUCGUGUCGUGAGAUGUUGGGUUAAGUCCCGCAACGAGCGCAACCCUUGAUCUUAGUUGCCAUCAUUAAGUUGGGCACUCUAAGGUGACUGCCGGUGACAAACCGGAGGAAGGUGGGGAUGACGUCAAAUCAUCAUGCCCCUUAUGACCUGGGCUACACACGUGCUACAAUGGACGGUACAAAGAGCUGCAAGACCGCGAGGUGGAGCUAAUCUCAUAAAACCGUUCUCAGUUCGGAUUGUAGGCUGCAACUCGCCUACAUGAAGCUGGAAUC